GAGGUUGAACGGCCACAUUGGGACUGAGACACGGCCCAGACUCCUACGGGAGGCAGCAGUGGGGAAUAUUGCACAAUGGGGGAAACCCUGAUGCAGCGACGCCGCGUGGAGGAAGAAGGUCUUCGGGUCGUAAAAUUCUGUUGUCAGAGAAGAAUGUGCGUGAGAGUAACUGUUCACGUAUUGACGGUAUCUAACAAGGAAGUGACGGCUAACUACGUGCCAGCAGCCGCGGUAAAACGUAGGUCACAAGCGUUGUCCGGAAUUACUGGGUGUAAAGGGAGCGCAGGCGGGAAGACAAGUUGGAAGUGAAAUCCAUGGGCUCAACCCAUGAACUGCUUUCAAAACUGUUUUUCUUGAGUAGUGCAGAGGUAGGCGGAAUUCCCGGUGUAGCGGUGGAAUGCGUAGAUAUCGGGAGGAACACCAGUGGCGAAGGCGGCCUACUGGGCACCAACUGACGCUGAGGCUCGAAAGUGUGGGUAGCAAACAGGAUUAGAUACCCUGGUAGUCCACACUGUAAACGAUGAUUACUAGGUGUUGGAGGAUUGACCCCUUCAGUGCCGCAGUUAACACAAUAAGUAAUCCACCUGGGGAGUACGACCGCAAGGUUGAAACUCAAAGGAAUUGACGGGGGCCCGCACAAGCAGUGGAGUAUGUGGUUUAAUUCGACGCAACGCGAAGAACCUUACCAAGUCUUGACAUCCCUUGACGAUGCUGGAAACAGUAUUUCUCUUCGGAGCAAGGAGACAGGUGGUGCAUGGUUGUCGUCAGCUCGUGUCGUGAGAUGUUGGGUUAAGUCCCGCAACGAGCGCAACCCUUAUGGUCAGUUACUACGCAAGAGGACUCUGGCCAGACUGCCGUUGACAAAACGGAGGAAGGUGGGGAUGACGUCAAAUCAUCAUGCCCUUUAUGACUUGGGCUACACACGUACUACAAUGGCGUUAAACAAAGAGAAGCAAGACCGCGAGGUGGAGCAAAACUCAGAAACAACGUCCCAGUUCGGACUGCAGGCUGCAACUCGCCUGCACGAAGUCGGAAUUGCUAGUAAUCGCAGAUCAGCAUGCUGCGGUGAAUACGUUCCCGGGCCUUGUACACACCGCCCGUCACACCAUGAGAGCCGGGGGGACCCGAAGUCGGUAGUCUAACCGCAAGGAGGACGCCGCCGAAGGUAAAACUGGUGAUUGGGGUGAAGUCGUAACAAGGUA
RNAcentral lists this ribosomal RNA (1202 nucleotides) under metagenome. Its description in RNAcentral is "bacterial SSU rRNA". It matches the Rfam family "Bacterial small subunit ribosomal RNA", at positions 296 to 1498 of the family's 1533-position model. The record is from RNAcentral.